AGUGAACGCUGGCGGUAGGCCUAACACAUGCAAGUCGAACGGCAGCACAGUAAGAGCUUGCUCUUACGGGUGGCGAGUGGCGGACGGGUGAGGAAUACAUCGGAAUCUACUUUUUCGUGGGGGAUAACGUAGGGAAACUUACGCUAAUACCGCAUACUACCUACGGGUGAAAGCAGGGGAUCUUCGGACCUUGCGCGAUUGAAUGAGCCGAUGUCGGAUUAGCUAGUUGGCGGGGUAAAGGCCCACCAAGGCGACGAUCCGUAGCUGGUCUGAGAGGAUGAUCGGCCACACUGGAACUGAGACACGGUCCAGACUCAUACGGGAGGCAGCAGUGGGGAAUAUUGGAAAAUGGGCGCAAGCCUGAUCCAGCCAUACCACGUGGGUGAAGAAGGCCUUCGGGUUGUAAACCCCUUUUGUUGGGAAAGAAAAGCAGCAGGUUAAUACCCCGCUGUUCUGACGGUACCCAAAGAAUAAGCACCGGCUAACUUCGUG
Molecule: ribosomal RNA, 492 nt
Filed under: uncultured bacterium
Lineage: Bacteria
Description: partial 16S ribosomal RNA
Rfam family: Bacterial small subunit ribosomal RNA
Source: RNAcentral